UAGAUGAGUUCCGGGGUAUAUGCAGGGAAAGUAAACAUACGAGAAUUUCGAACGUAUACAUUUUCGAAAAUCUCAUACUUUUUCGACCCCGGAACUUAUCUAAUUUCCCGCGGUUACGUGUGGAGUUAUCCUUCUUGAGCUGAAGACCACACAGAUGUCGUUGUAUUGUUACUUCCGUUGAUCGAAGUUGAAUGGAGAAAAAAAUGCAA
Molecule: long non-coding RNA, 209 nt
Filed under: Mytilus galloprovincialis (Mediterranean mussel)
Lineage: Eukaryota; Metazoa; Mollusca; Bivalvia; Mytilida; Mytilidae
Source: RNAcentral